This 759-nucleotide ribosomal RNA is filed under the name uncultured Bacillus sp. RNAcentral describes it as "bacterial SSU rRNA". It matches the Rfam family "Bacterial small subunit ribosomal RNA", at positions 28 to 771 of the family's 1533-position model. Lineage: Bacteria; Bacillati; Bacillota; Bacilli; Caryophanales; Bacillaceae. The record is from RNAcentral.
GACGAACGCUGGCGGCGUGCCUAAUACAUGCAAGUCGAGCGGAACUUCGGGAGCUUGCUCCCGGGGUUUAGCGGCGGACGGGUGAGUAACACGUGGGCAACCUGCCCUGCAGAUCGGGAUAACUCCGGGAAACCGGUGCUAAUACCGAAUAGUUUCGGGUCCCUCCUGGGACCCGACGGAAAGACGGUUUCGGCUGUCACUGCAGGAUGGGCCCGCGGCGCAUUAGCUAGUUGGUGGGGUAACGGCCCACCAAGGCGACGAUGCGUAGCCGACCUGAGAGGGUGAUCGGCCACACUGGGACUGAGACACGGCCCAGACUCCUACGGGAGGCAGCAGUAGGGAAUCUUCCGCAAUGGACGCAAGUCUGACGGAGCAACGCCGCGUGAGUGACGAAGGUUUUCGGAUCGUAAAACUCUGUUGCGAGGGAAGAAACCGCACCACCUAACUAGUGGUGCCUUGACGGUACCUCGCCAGAAAGCCACGGCUAACUACGUGCCAGCAGCCGCGGUAAUACGUAGGUGGCAAGCGUUGUCCGGAAUUAUUGGGCGUAAAGCGCGCGCAGGCGGUCCUUUAAGUCUGAUGUGAAAGCCCACGGCUCAACCGUGGAGGGUCAUUGGAAACUGGAGGACUUGAGUGCAGAAGAGGAAAGUGGAAUUCCACGUGUAGCGGUGAAAUGCGUAGAGAUGUGGAGGAACACCAGUGGCGAAGGCGACUUUCUGGUCUGUAACUGACGCUGAGGCGCGAAAGCGUGGGGAGCAA